Molecule: ribosomal RNA, 450 nt
Filed under: uncultured bacterium
Lineage: Bacteria
Description: partial 16S ribosomal RNA
Rfam family: Bacterial small subunit ribosomal RNA
Source: RNAcentral
GUGGGGAAUUUUGGACAAUGGGCGCAAGCCUGAUCCAGCAAUGCCGCGUGCAGGAAGAAGGCCUUCGGGUUGUAAACUGCUUUUGUACGGAACGAAACGGUCCUGGUUAAUACCUGGGGCUAAUGACGGUACCGUAAGAAUAAGCACCGGCUAACUACGUGCCAGCAGCCGCGGUAAUACGUAGGGUGCGAGCGUUAAUCGGAAUUACUGGGCGUAAAGCGUGCGCAGGCGGUGCUGUAAGACAGGCGUGAAAUCCCCGGGCUCAACCUGGGAAUUGCGCUUGUGACUGCAGUGCUGGAGUACGGCAGAGGGGGAUGGAAUUCCGCGUGUAGCAGUGAAAUGCAUAGAUAUGCGGAGGAACACCGAUGGCGAAGGCAGUCCCCUGGGCCUGUACUGACGCUCAUGCACGAAAGCGUGGGGAGCAAACAGGAUUAGAAACCCGUGUAGUCC